This 311-nucleotide long non-coding RNA is filed under the name Mus caroli (Ryukyu mouse). Its description in RNAcentral is "lncRNA (MGP_CAROLIEiJ_G0006462.1)". The record is from RNAcentral. Lineage: Eukaryota; Metazoa; Chordata; Mammalia; Rodentia; Muridae.
GACUGUUGAGUUCCUAGCCUCGUAGGAUCGCUCUGUCAUCCCCUUUCAAGGCUGAAGGACUAUCACGGAAAAGAGGGUGGAAACAACAUAAGAGCUAGAGGAAGAAGCUGUCGAACCCUGUAUUCUGGGUAUGCUGUGUCCACAGCAGUCAUCGAGUGGGGAGUGACUAGCUCCCACAGCACAGAAGGAAAGAAGGGAACGCUCUGGGGCCAUCAGGAUCUCCCUUCUCUUCCAGAUCGGUUACCAGUUACCCUCAAGCAACAUACUUGUGCUAAAGGAAAGCCAUGAGGAAAAGCAGCCUUCCUUAGAGA